AUUCCAUGGUGAAGACAGCUUCUAGUGUAACCUUUCAAAUGUUCCCAAGCUUCACUUAGAGACUCUUGACCACCUUGCCUGAAAGAGUUUAUAUCACUUUUGUACU
Arabis alpina (gray rockcress) is the source of this 106-nucleotide non-coding RNA. Lineage: Eukaryota; Viridiplantae; Streptophyta; Magnoliopsida; Brassicales; Brassicaceae. The record is from Rfam.